CAGUAGCCGCGGUAAUACGAAGGGUGCAAGCGUUAAUCGGAAUUACUGGGCGUAAAGCGUGCGUAGGCGGUUUGUUAAGUCUGCUGUGAAAUCCCCGGGCUCAACCUGGGAAUGGCAGUGGAUACUGGCAAGCUAGAGUGUGUCAGAGGAUGGUGGAAUUCCCGGUGUAGCGGUGAAAUGCGUAGAGAUCGAGAGGAACAUCAGUGGCGAAGGCGGCCAUCUGGGACAACACUGACGCUGAGGCACGAAAGCGUGGGGAGCAAACAGGAUUAGAUACCCCUGUAGUCCCUGUCUCUUAUAC
This 301-nucleotide ribosomal RNA is filed under the name uncultured bacterium. RNAcentral describes it as "partial 16S ribosomal RNA". It matches the Rfam family "Bacterial small subunit ribosomal RNA", at positions 509 to 807 of the family's 1533-position model. The record is from RNAcentral.